Molecule: ribosomal RNA, 479 nt
Filed under: uncultured Geobacter sp.
Lineage: Bacteria; Pseudomonadati; Thermodesulfobacteriota; Desulfuromonadia; Geobacterales; Geobacteraceae
Description: bacterial SSU rRNA
Rfam family: Bacterial small subunit ribosomal RNA
Source: RNAcentral
CAAAGGAAUUGACGGGGCCGCACAAGCGGUGGAGCAUGUGGUUUAAUUCGACGCAACGCGAAGAACCUUACCUGGGCUUGACAUCUGCGGAAUUUCUAUGAAAGUAGGAAGUGCCCUUCGGGGAGCCGCAAGACAGGUGCUGCAUGGCUGUCGUCAGCUCGUGUCGUGAGAUGUUGGGUUAAGUCCCGCAACGAGCGCAACCCUUGUCUUUAGUUGCCAUCAUUCAGUUGGGCACUCUAAAGAGACUGCCGGUGUCAAACCGGAGGAAGGUGGGGAUGACGUCAAGUCCUCAUGGCCUUUAUGACCAGGGCUACACACGUACUACAAUGGCCGGUACAAAGGGCAGCCACUUAGCGAUAAGGAGCCAAUCCCGUAAAGCCGGUCUCAGUCCGGAUUGGAGUCUGCAACUCGACUCCAUGAAGUUGGAAUCGCUAGUAAUCGCAGAUCAGCACGCUGCGGUGAAUACGUUCCCGGGCCUU